This 369-nucleotide long non-coding RNA is filed under the name Crocodylus porosus (Australian saltwater crocodile). RNAcentral's name for it is "lncRNA (ENSCPRG00005008130.1)". Lineage: Eukaryota; Metazoa; Chordata; Crocodylia; Crocodylidae. The record is from RNAcentral.
GCUGGGGUGGGCUUGGGAAGGGACUCACCCCCCAGCCAAGGUGCUAGGUGUGGCCACUGGGAAGUGACAGCUUUUCCCCUGCAGGUGUUGGCUUCCGUGGCUUUGGAGUUCCAGGGGGAGCUGGCAGAGUCGUCAAUGGGCUAGGAACUGGUUUCGGUGCUGGAGGCUUACAGCCAGGGGCUGUAUUUCCUGGCUUUGGUCUGUCUCCCAUUUACCCAGGUAUUUUAGGAAAAACAAUUUCUAUCUCCUGGCAGCGAUCUUGUCCUAGAGGCCAGCCCCCAACCCCCAUUCCAUAUCCUCUGUGAUCCUCUUACCCACUAAGAAGGAGGCACAGCGUAGACACAGGACCAUCCCUGUUUAUAAGAAGAU